UUUUGUUAGGGCAUCUAUAACAGCCUCUAGUUUAGGCGGGCAACCCGGCAGGUAGACGUCCACAGGAAUUAACUUAUCAACUCCUCGAACAGUACUAUAGGAAUCUGUACUGAACAUGCCCCCUGUAAUAGUACAGGCUCCCAUAGCAAUGACGUCUAGCCAGGUUUGAAGUCAUUACCCUUAACCGUAAGGAGGGGGAUGCCUAAGGCUAGGCUUGCGACUGGAGUGAAGUCGUAACAAGGUAGCCAUACUGGAAGGUGCGGCUGGAUCACCUCCUUU
RNAcentral lists this non-coding RNA (279 nucleotides) under Zea mays. Its description in RNAcentral is "Bacterial small subunit ribosomal RNA". It matches the Rfam family "Bacterial small subunit ribosomal RNA", at positions 1223 to 1533 of the family's 1533-position model. The record is from Rfam by way of RNAcentral. Lineage: Eukaryota; Viridiplantae; Streptophyta; Magnoliopsida; Poales; Poaceae.